This 2235-nucleotide ribosomal RNA is filed under the name Salmonella enterica subsp. enterica serovar Enteritidis. RNAcentral describes it as "partial 23S ribosomal RNA". It matches the Rfam family "Bacterial large subunit ribosomal RNA", at positions 583 to 2803 of the family's 2925-position model. The record is from RNAcentral. Lineage: Bacteria; Pseudomonadati; Pseudomonadota; Gammaproteobacteria; Enterobacterales; Enterobacteriaceae.
CUUUGGGUGUGACUGCGUACCUUUUGUAUAAUGGGUCAGCGACUUAUAUUCUGUAGCAAGGUUAACCGAAUAGGGGAGCCGGAGGGAAACCGAGUCUUAACCGGGCGUUAAGUUGCAGGGUAUAGACCCGAAACCCGGUGAUCUAGCCAUGGGCAGGUUGAAGGUUGGGUAACACUAACUGGAGGACCGAACCGACUAAUGUUGAAAAAUUAGCGGAUGACCUGUGGCUGGGGGUGAAAGGCCAAUCAAACCGGGAGAUAGCUGGUUCUCCCCGAAAGCUAUUUAGGUAGCGCCUCGUGAAUUCAUCUCCGGGGGUAGAGCACUGUUUCGGCUAGGGGGCCAUCCCGGCUUACCAACCCGAUGCAAACUGCGAAUACCGGAGAAUGUUAUCACGGGAGACACACGGCGGGUGCUAACGUCCGUCGUGAAGAGGGAAACAACCCAGACCGCCAGCUAAGGUCCCAAAGUCAUGGUUAAGUGGGAAACGAUGUGGGAAGGCCCAGACAGCCAGGAUGUUGGCUUAGAAGCAGCCAUCAUUUAAAGAAAGCGUAAUAGCUCACUGGUCGAGUCGGCCUGCGCGGAAGAUGUAACGGGGCUAAACCAUGCACCGAAGCUGCGGCAGCGACGCUUAUGCGUUGUUGGGUAGGGGAGCGUUCUGUAAGCCUGCGAAGGUGGCCUGUGAGGGUUGCUGGAGGUAUCAGAAGUGCGAAUGCUGACAUAAGUAACGAUAAAGCGGGUGAAAAGCCCGCUCGCCGGAAGACCAAGGGUUCCUGUCCAACGUUAAUCGGGGCAGGGUGAGUCGACCCCUAAGGCGAGGCCGAAAGGCGUAGUCGAUGGGAAACGGGUUAAUAUUCCCGUACUUGGUGUUACUGCGAAGGGGGGACGGAGAAGGCUAUGUUGGCCGGGCGACGGUUGUCCCGGUUUAAGCGUGUAGGUGUGUGUUCCAGGUAAAUCCGGUUCACUUUAACACUGAGGCGUGACGACGAGGCACUACGGUGCUGAAGCAACAAAUGCCCUGCUUCCAGGAAAAGCCUCUAAGCAUCAGGUAACAUCAAAUCGUACCCCAAACCGACACAGGUGGUCAGGUAGAGAAUACCAAGGCGCUUGAGAGAACUCGGGUGAAGGAACUAGGCAAAAUGGUGCCGUAACUUCGGGAGAAGGCACGCUGACACGUAGGUGAAGUGAUUUACUCAUGGAGCUGAAGUCAGUCGAAGAUACCAGCUGGCUGCAACUGUUUAUUAAAAACACAGCACUGUGCAAACACGAAAGUGGACGUAUACGGUGUGACGCCUGCCCGGUGCCGGAAGGUUAAUUGAUGGGGUCAGCGCAAGCGAAGCUCCUGAUCGAAGCCCCGGUAAACGGCGGCCGUAACUAUAACGGUCCUAAGGUAGCGAAAUUCCUUGUCGGGUAAGUUCCGACCUGCACGAAUGGCGUAAUGAUGGCCAGGCUGUCUCCACCCGAGACUCAGUGAAAUUGAACUCGCUGUGAAGAUGCAGUGUACCCGCGGCAAGACGGAAAGACCCCGUGAACCUUUACUAUAGCUUGACACUGAACAUUGAGCCUUGAUGUGUAGGAUAGGUGGGAGGCUUUGAAGUGUGGACGCCAGUCUGCAUGGAGCCGACCUUGAAAUACCACCCUUUAAUGUUUGAUGUUCUAACGUGGACCCGUUACCCGGGUUGCGGACAGUGUCUGGUGGGUAGUUUGACUGGGGCGGUCUCCUCCUAAAGAGUAACGGAGGAGCACGAAGGUUGGCUAAUCCUGGUCGGACAUCAGGAGGUUAGUGCAAUGGCAUAAGCCAGCUUGACUGCGAGCGUGACGGCGCGAGCAGGUGCGAAAGCAGGUCAUAGUGAUCCGGUGGUUCUGAAUGGAAGGGCCAUCGCUCAACGGAUAAAAGGUACUCCGGGGAUAACAGGCUGAUACCGCCCAAGAGUUCAUAUCGACGGCGGUGUUUGGCACCUCGAUGUCGGCUCAUCACAUCCUGGGGCUGAAGUAGGUCCCAAGGGUAUGGCUGUUCGCCAUUUAAAGUGGUACGCGAGCUGGGUUUAGAACGUCGUGAGACAGUUCGGUCCCUAUCUGCCGUGGGCGCUGGAGAACUGAGGGGGGCUGCUCCUAGUACGAGAGGACCGGAGUGGACGCAUCACUGGUGUUCGGGUUGUCAUGCCAAUGGCACUGCCCGGUAGCUAAAUGCGGAAGAGAUAAGUGCUGAAAGCAUCUAAGCACGAAACUUGCCCCGAG